This 240-nucleotide long non-coding RNA is filed under the name Ananas comosus (pineapple). Its description in RNAcentral is "long non-coding RNA (ACOM_LNC019414)". The record is from RNAcentral. Lineage: Eukaryota; Viridiplantae; Streptophyta; Magnoliopsida; Poales; Bromeliaceae.
UAUAGAUGGGUACAUAAAACUGCUCAAAAAAAAUUAAAAAACGAAAAAUAUGUUUCACUGAAAUAUUCUAUAAUUUAAGCUGAUCUCCUAUUCUCCCUUCUCGAUCCCCAACCCUCUCCUCCCCAACCCUCUCCUCUCAAAAAUUCUCAUUUCUCCCCAACCCUCUCAUCCCAAAUAAUCCAUUCAACACUGCUAGUCCUCGUCCUCGGCGGUGACGACUGCUAGCUCUUUCCCCACCGC